GACGGAGGAUGCAAGCGUUAUCCGGAAUGAUUGGGCGUAAAGCGUCCGCAGGUGGCAGUUCAAGUCUGCUGUCAAAGACCGGGGCUUAACUUCGGAAAGGCAGUGGAAACUGAACAGCUAGAGUAUGGUAGGGGCAGAGGGAAUUCCUGGUGUAGCGGUGAAAUGCGUAGAUAUCGUAAGGAAGACCAGUGGCGAAGGCGGGUCUCUGGACAGUUCCUGACGCUGAGGCACGAAGGUCAGGGGAGCAAACGGG
RNAcentral lists this ribosomal RNA (253 nucleotides) under uncultured bacterium. Its description in RNAcentral is "partial 16S ribosomal RNA". It matches the Rfam family "Bacterial small subunit ribosomal RNA", at positions 524 to 776 of the family's 1533-position model. The record is from RNAcentral.